UACGAAGGGGACUAGCGUUGCUCGGAAUCACUGGGCGUAAAGGGUGCGUAGGCGGGUCUUUAAGUCAGGGGUGAAAUCCUGGAGCUCAACUCCAGAACUGCCUUUGAUACUGAGGAUCUUGAGUUCGGGAGAGGUGAGUGGAACUGCGAGUGUAGAGGUGAAAUUCGUAGAUAUUCGCAAGAACACCAGAGGCGAAGGCGGCCUACUGGGCCAGUACUGACGCUGAGCCGCGAAAGCCAGGGGAGCGAACGGG
RNAcentral lists this ribosomal RNA (253 nucleotides) under uncultured bacterium. Its description in RNAcentral is "partial 16S ribosomal RNA". It matches the Rfam family "Bacterial small subunit ribosomal RNA", at positions 524 to 776 of the family's 1533-position model. The record is from RNAcentral.